Molecule: unclassified non-coding RNA, 253 nt
Filed under: uncultured Pseudomonadaceae bacterium
Lineage: Bacteria; Pseudomonadati; Pseudomonadota; Gammaproteobacteria; Pseudomonadales; Pseudomonadaceae
Description: contains 16S-23S intergenic spacer region
Rfam family: Bacterial small subunit ribosomal RNA
Source: RNAcentral
UACAGAGGGUGCAAGCGUUAAUCGGUAUUACUGGGCGUAAAGCGCGCGUAGGUGGUUGGUUAAGUUGGAUGUGAAAGCCCCGGGCUCAAGCUGGGAACUGCAUCCAAAACUGGCCGGCUAGAGUACGGUAGAGGGUGGUGGCAUUUCCUGUGUAGCGGUGAAAUGCGUAGAUAUAGGAAGGAACACCAGUGGCGAAGGCGACAACCUGGAGUGAUACUGACACUGAGGUGCGAAAGCGUGGGGAGCAAACAGG